Molecule: long non-coding RNA, 1284 nt
Organism: Oncorhynchus tshawytscha (Chinook salmon)
Lineage: Eukaryota; Metazoa; Chordata; Actinopteri; Salmoniformes; Salmonidae
Source: Ensembl
CCUGACUGCAGGGUGCAGUUCUCGGCCGGGCUCAAUGUGGGCGGAGUCAAACGGUUUAACCCAAAACCUUCCCAUCUCCUUCGAGGUCACGCAAGUUGAGGUAAAGUCAAUGGUGUCAACGAAAGCGAAUCUCAAUCGAACCUAACCUACAUGGAUAGCACUAUAAACCAUGGAAGAAGCAGAUGUUCUUCUAAGGGACACCCUAGAGGCAGCAAGGUGAUGUGAACUCCAAACAUUUAAAGGCACUGUUCCCCUCCCUAGUGUAAUUGGGAUGGAAGGGGAAGACCGCAUUACAACCCUUAAAGAACUACAGUUGUAUGAUGGCCUGGAUGAAGAGAAAAAUGUUCUCCUCAAGGAACCAUUCAUGUUACAGAGAGAUUAUAAUUUGUUCUAUUUGGAGGCAGUUGACAACAAGAAAAUUACUGUCUUUGUCUUUUGAGGAGCAAAGCCAUUUUUGAGGAGUGGUCAAACUUUGUCUGCUGUGUUAAUUGUUUCAAUUGUUAAUUGUGUUAUGUUUAGUAAAGAUGACGUAGAAGUCACCCGAGUCUCUGAUCUCUUCACUGGAGCUGGUAUAACUUAAUGUACAAAGCACAUUCAGCUUGUCAGUAUGUCUAUAUGGUAUAGUCUGUCUCCAUUCUCAUGAGGAAAGUAAAUAACAUUAUAAAUCAGGAUGGGUAGUAACUGUGUGUAUAUGCUCAAUUAAAUAAUAUAAUUACAAAGUUAUAACAUUUAUCAACACAAUUUUAACAGUAAAUAACAAGUCUGCUGUUCACUGCAACUAUCAGUAGUUUGUCUCAAAUAUAGCAUGAAGCAAAAAGUGUUACAUCUGCUGGUACUUGUAAGAAAUAUUAUAUAAAUCUUCAAAAAUGAAAUAUGUUUGUAUUCAACUUGUGCCUUGCGCAAAUGUGUGUUACUGUCAAACAUCAGAUGGACAAAAAAAUGUGGGCAGGGUCAAAUGUGAGCAGAGUCAAACGUUUGACUCCACCCACAUUGAACCCAGCCCCGAAUUGCACACUGCAGUCAGGGGUACUUGGACUUGCUUGCUGGUUGAGAUUUCUGCUCUUCACUCCAUUGUCAGUUUAGCCUACAUUUCACUGAUCAUAGGAGCAGAAAUGGUUUUUUAUUUGUGUCCUUCAAGGCAGCUGUCAAUGAUCACGUUAGGCUGUGUUUCAUUUGAUUUGUUAUGGCGGUUUGAUCGCAGAGGAGACACUAGUAAUGUCUGCAGUUUUCGGUUUGUCAUUUUGUUUCAAAUGUAUUAGUCUAAUAAUAAAUCUCUUCGCCAAA